Enterococcus ratti is the source of this 176-nucleotide small RNA. It matches the Rfam family "Enterococcus sRNA B11". From Rfam's summary of the family: Name 'Ref' stands for RNA in E. faecalis. Lineage: Bacteria; Bacillati; Bacillota; Bacilli; Lactobacillales; Enterococcaceae. The record is from Rfam.
GGCAACUUGCCCCCAAAGGGGGUGUGCUUCAUUGGAAAAAAUAGUAUCGUUGGUCAUUGCACCUAUUUUUGUAGGUAUCGUUAUCAAACUUUUUUCUCACUGGUUAGAUGAGAAAGACAAUGACUAAAAGCAAGUUGCUUCUAGCCCACUCAUUCGUAGUCGCAACGAAUGAAAAA